Molecule: ribosomal RNA, 251 nt
Filed under: uncultured bacterium
Lineage: Bacteria
Description: partial 16S ribosomal RNA
Rfam family: Bacterial small subunit ribosomal RNA
Source: RNAcentral
UACGUAGGGUGCGAGCGUGUCCGGAAUUAUUGGGCGUAAAGAGCUUGUAGGCGGUUUGUCGCGUCUGCUGUGAAAUUUCGGGGCUCAACCCCGAACUGCAGUGGGUACGGGCAGACUAGAGUGUGGUAGGGGAGACUGGAAUUCCUGGUGUAGCGGUGAAAUGCGCAGAUAUCAGGAGGAACACCGAUGGCGAAGGCAGGUCUCUGGGCCACUACUGACGCUGAGAAGCGAAAGCAUGGGGAGCGAACAGG